Long non-coding RNA from Symphalangus syndactylus (siamang), 391 nucleotides. RefSeq lists it as uncharacterized. The record is from RefSeq and is a predicted model, not a curated record. Lineage: Eukaryota; Metazoa; Chordata; Mammalia; Primates; Hylobatidae.
UUCUGGAUAGGAGGGUAAAACAGCAUUGUUCACUCGAGAACCUGAGAAUUGGGGAGGCUUUCUCAUUCCUUCCAUAUGGAGCAGCAGCUCCAAACUAGAGAUGAUUCUGAUCGUUUGUUUCACACUGUCACCUCGAGGCACUUGGACAGCUCCUAAAGACAGCAUCUUUGCCAAGAACGCCAGAUUCCAUGGUGACACUGGGGCUGUAGCCAUGAGACAUGCAUACACCAGGAAGAAAAAUGGAACUAAAAAGGGAAAACAAUAGCAACAAAGAUCAAAAUAAAUAACAAGGAAGCAGAGAGAAGAAAGAACACGGUGAAGAGAGUGAAAAGUGUUGUCAUUUGGGGUGAAUAGCAGAAAGAAAUAAAUUAUUGUUCUUAUAUGUAAGUGA